AGAGUUUGAUCAUGGCUCAGAAUGAACGUUGGCGGCGUGGAUUAGGCAUGCAAGUCGAGCGGUAAGGCUCCUUCGGGAGUACACGAGCGGCGUAAGGGAGAGUUACGCGUGGUUUACCUGCCCUAGGGUCCAGAAUAGCUUCGGGAAACUGAAGGUAAUGCUGGAUAAUAUCUCCGGAUCAAAGGUGAGAUUCCGCCCUAGGAGGGGACCGCGUUCUAUUAGCUUGUUGGUGGGGUAACGGCCUACCAAGGCUUUGAUGGAUACCGGGUGUGAGAGCAUGGCCCGGCUCACUGGGACUGAGACACUGCCCAGACACCUACGGGUGGCUGCAGUCGAGAAUCUUCGGCAAUGGGCGCAAGCCUGACCGAGCGACGCCGCGUGUGGGAUGAAGGCCUUCGGGUUGUAAACCACUGUCAGUUGGGAGGAAAUCCGUGGGGGCUAUCCCCCAUGGUUGACCUAUCUUCAGAGGAAGGACGGGCUAAGUUCGUGCCAGCAGCCGCGGUAAUACGAACCGUCCAAACGUUAUUCGGAAUCAUUGGGCUUAAAGGGUGCGUAGGCGGUGUGGUCAGUUGGGUGUGAAAUCCCUCGGCUCAACCGAGGAACUGCGCCCAAUACUGCCAUACUCGAGGGAGACAGAGGUAAGCGGAACUGAUGGUGGAGCGGUGAAAUGCGUUGAUAUCAUCA
RNAcentral lists this ribosomal RNA (684 nucleotides) under uncultured bacterium. Its description in RNAcentral is "bacterial SSU rRNA". It matches the Rfam family "Bacterial small subunit ribosomal RNA", at positions 8 to 702 of the family's 1533-position model. The record is from RNAcentral.